Triticum urartu is the source of this 480-nucleotide non-coding RNA. NCBI's taxonomy places the organism in Eukaryota, Viridiplantae, Streptophyta, Magnoliopsida, Poales, Poaceae. The record is from RefSeq and is a predicted model, not a curated record.
CCCUCUACGCUGACGAGCAAGGGCGGGAUCCCCAUCACUGCAUCCUCCACUCCGAUGGCAGGAGCGGUGCUCCUCACUGUGCUGGUACACCAUGCUGCUCAGAUCCGUCACGGUGGACUCGAUACAGGGCAAGAAGGAAGUAGAAUGAGGCGCACUCUUAGGAAUCCUCUGUCCUAAGAAAGAACAUGGAAAGCACACUCUUGGGAAAAAUAAGGAAACUACAAUCUAGCAAAUGAAUAAAGAAACAGAAGCUUGCUCACAAAAUUUCGCAUAAGUGGUUGGCAUCAUCACUAGAAGAUCUUCACAGUAACAACACAAUCAAGUGAGGGGAGGUUAGUCUGAUCUUCAGAGCAUUGCAAGUUUGGUGACUCUUCUGCUGGAGACAUGUGGCCCUCUUCGAGUAAUGCAGAUUCACAGGAUUGUGCUGAGUCUGGUAUUCAAAAGACAUCCCAUGAAUAUGGUAAUGUACUAAUGUCAUCC